RNAcentral lists this ribosomal RNA (424 nucleotides) under uncultured bacterium. RNAcentral describes it as "bacterial SSU rRNA". It matches the Rfam family "Bacterial small subunit ribosomal RNA", at positions 43 to 507 of the family's 1533-position model. The record is from RNAcentral.
UGUGCUUCACACAUGCAAGUCGAACGAGGUAGCAAUACCUAGUGGCGGACGGGUGAGUAACGCGUGGGAAUCUGCCUUUAGAUGGGGGAUAACGGGUCGAAAGACUCGCUAAUACCGCAUAUGACGAAAGUUGAAAGGAGUAAUCCGUCUAAAGAUGAGCCCGCGUCCGAUUAGCUAGUUGGUAGAGUAAAAGCCUACCAAGGUCGACGAUCGGUAGCUGGUCUGAGAGGAUGAUCAGCCACAAUGGGACUGAGACACGGCCCAUACUCCUACGGGAGGCAGCAGUGGGAAUUUUACGCAAUUGGGCGAAAGCCUGACGUAGCGACACCGCGUGAGCGAAGAAGCCCCCUUGGGGUGUAAAGCUCUGUCAGCUAGGAACGAAAAAAUGACGGUACCAGCAGAGGAAGCAUCGGCUAACUACGUG